AUUGAACGCUAGCGGGAUGCUUUACACAUGCAAGUCGAACGGCAGCGCGGACUUCGGGCUGGCUGCGAGUGGCGAAAGGGUGAGUAAUGUAUGGGAACGUCCCCAGCAGCGGUGGAGAAUUACGUGAAAGCGUUGCUGAUACCGCAUAAGCCCUACGGGGGCAACCAGGGGGUCGUAAGACCUUGCACUCUUGGAGCGGUCGAUGUCGGGGUUGCUAGUUGGUGAGGUAAGGGCUCACCAAGGCGACGAUCCGUAGCUGGUUUGAGAGGGCGGGAAGCCACACUGGAACGUAGCCACGGCCCAGACUCCUACGGGAGGCAGCAGUGGGGAAUUUUGGACAAUGGGGGCAACCCUGGUCCAGCCAUCCCGCGUGUGCGAUGAAGGCCUUCGGGUUGUAAAGCACUUUUGCCGGGAAAGAAACGUCGCGGGCUAAUACCACGUGGAACUGACGGUACCUGCAGAAUAAGCACCGGCUAACUACGUG
Molecule: ribosomal RNA, 484 nt
Filed under: uncultured bacterium
Lineage: Bacteria
Description: partial 16S ribosomal RNA
Rfam family: Bacterial small subunit ribosomal RNA
Source: RNAcentral